This 2545-nucleotide long non-coding RNA is filed under the name Sorghum bicolor (sorghum). RNAcentral describes it as "long non-coding RNA (SBIC_LNC012628)". The record is from RNAcentral. Lineage: Eukaryota; Viridiplantae; Streptophyta; Magnoliopsida; Poales; Poaceae.
GCAUCUCACGAUGUUCGGCGGCGCCCGGGGCCCUAGAUGGCGCCCGCUCGGCCGCCCUGAGUAGUCCGACCGCUCAGCGGUCCUGACGCCGGUGGCGCCCUGCAGUACGAGACGCAAUGGGGCUCCACGGCCUCGACACUCGGCUCUGAGGGCGCGUGCGGCCCGUGGUUCCCACGCGGCUCAGCCCUGCGAUGCGGUGCCCGCGCUCCGCGCGCGCACAGAGCAGCGAGCGGGUGGCUCACGCGGCUGUGGCCCUGAGCGGCUCGCGCGGUGGUGGGCAUGGCGAUCCCGUGCGGCUCGGGCGCAUGGCUGGCCGGCUCGCCGCGGAGAUCGGGCGCGAUGCGGAGGCCUCGGCUCGGUGGCGCUCGGUGACCUGUGGCCCCAGCGCGCGAGCGGCAGGCGGCCCCAAGGCUUCGGAGAGCCCCACGCCCCGGCCACGCACGGUGAGUCGAUGCGCCGGUCAACUGUGAACCCUGCUCCCAUGCGCACUGCAAGAUGUUCGACUAUGUUAUUGUGCUGAAGCUUUGGUAGAAUCUGAACUUCGUUUUUACGUAGCUCAUAUUGACUCAUACUUGGUGGUAGCUUUUGCUCUGAACUUGAAGUAACUGAAUGUUUUUUUAUUGUGACAUGAUUGCCAUGUAGUUGACCGUGAAGGAACCAAACAGACGUCCAAUGAUUAUAUAUAAUAAAGUGCCCAAAGGGACUUUUGUUCGAUUUGGUUCUAGACUCCUCACCAAAUUAAAGUUACCUUGUAUAAAGUGGCCAAAGGGCCUUGUUCAAUUUGAUUCUCAAGUGAGAAGUUAUUUGUGGCAUUCCUUAACUGAGAAAAACUCAGAUUCUGAAACCUACUGCAGCCAAAAGAAUUGAAACAUCAUCAGGACAUGUACAUCACCUAUAUACAUACUAGCCUCAGAGACAAUGAUACAGAGGGACAUACCUUUGGUCAUCCUGAGGAUCUGAGAGAUUCUGAAAGGACCUUAGAACUUCCUCUUCAGCACCCUGAAAUAGCAUAAUUGGUGCAUGGGUUUGCAAUUUUGCAUGAUUAUAAGCACAUAUGUAUGUAUAGUAUACCCCAGCAGAGGUUGGAGCAGCUGCGCUGUUGAUAACUUGCACGAGAGGAGGCGGGAGCUGUCGAGGUGGCUGACGAUGGGGAACAGCUGGAGGUAGAAGGCGUGGGGUAGGAUAUAACAGGGGUGUAUAUAAAUAUUGUUUUGUGCCCACGACUAAACCAAAUUAAAUUACUUAUCUUUGCUCAAUCGUUUUCUAUUUUCUGCAUUUUUAGACAUUUUGUCAUACACACUGUCCAGUUGUCAUUAACUUAUCAAUAACAUUGCAUCCUUUUUCAUCCAUAUCCACAAUUUUUGUUCUUAUUAAAUCGAAACCUUAGCUCAACAUAUAGUGGAAAGAGGUUUGGCAUGGAUUUUAUUCAACAAUCUCUUUCUGUUUUUUUAAAAUAUAUUCUGAACAUUAGACUGUUGUCUUAGUGAUUACAAUGGGCAUAAACAGUCAUUUCUAUGCUCUAGAGGUUGUAUUUCUUCUAUCAAAAAAUUUCUUAUUUAAUAUUGCUCUUCUAAAAGUAAUUUUAUUUAAUUAAACUAUCGAUGCAUAUACAUAUUAUAAUAUUUCUAACAAAUGUAUAUUUUUCUCGAAACAAAUAAAAACAUAUGUUGUGCUGCUUUAUGAAAUCCUCACAAUACUUUUACUGUUUUUUCUUCAGAUCCCUCAUUAAAGCUGAGAUUUAUCUGGGAUAGAUCAGCGAGCUGUUGAUGAUUCCAUGGUAGGUAUUUGAAUUCUUUCUAAACUAUUUUUUUUGCUGUACUUAGAUGCUUAUGGAUUAGGUAGAGUGCUGAUUAACUGGUUGUGCAGUAAUAUCCACAAUGCACUUUGUGCAGUAAUAUCCACAAUGAACUUUCAUCGGAGCAUUGAAUCAUGAAAGACAAGCUCUACACAGAUGAUGACGGCAAAGGACUUCAGCCCUAAAGCAUGUUGAAUGUUUGAUGUUGGAUGCUCGAUUAGUACAAUUUGUUAGAUGAUGGACUUGUUGGACUCCUUUAUUAUGGUUUAUGUGAUAUAUAUGUGGAUUUGUGUGAUAUAUAUGUGGAUUUGUGUGAUAUAUGUGAAUUCUAGUUAUAUAAUCAUAUAUGUAAUUUGAUUGUUGUGAUGCAAAACAAAAAAAAGAGAUCAAAAUUUUACUUAUUCCAGCUUUGCCACCUGCCACGUGAAAAGCAGGUGGCAAAGCUGGAAUCUCAUGAACAAUGACAGCUUUGCCAUCUGCCAAAAAAGACAGUCGACAAAGAGUCCUUUGCCACCUGCCAAAAAAAGCAGUCGGCAAAGAGCCCUUUGCCACCUGCCAAUAAAAGCAGUUGGCAAAGAAUCCUUUGCCACCUGCCAAAAAAGCCAGUCGGCAAAGAAUUUCUGUUUUGAAAAAAAAUAAAAAAAACCUUUGCCACCUGCCAAUAAAAGCAGUCGGCAAAGAAAUUCUAUUAUAAAAAAAUAAGAAAAGUCUUUGCCGACUGCCGCGUGGCAGUCGGCAAACGGGAUGCGC